RNAcentral lists this transfer RNA (87 nucleotides) under Frankiaceae bacterium. RNAcentral's name for it is "tRNA-Ser". It matches the Rfam family "tRNA". From Rfam's summary of the family: Transfer RNA (tRNA) molecules are approximately 80 nucleotides in length. Their secondary structure includes four short double-helical elements and three loops (D, anti-codon, and T loops). Lineage: Bacteria; Bacillati; Actinomycetota; Actinomycetes; Frankiales; Frankiaceae. The record is from RNAcentral.
GGUGGCGUGUCCGGGCGGCCGAAGGACCACGUCUCGAACACGUGUGAGGGGGAAACUCCUCCGUGGGUUCAAAUCCCACCGCCACCG